UGGACGAAUCUCUGGUGUUCGGGUUGUCACGCCAGUGGCAUUGCCCGGUAGCUACAUUCGGACAGGAUAACCGCUGAAAGCAUCUAAGCGGGAAGCCCCAUCCAAGAUUAGAUUUCCCUUGAGCUUUAAGCUCACAUAAGGAACGUUGAAGACUACGACGUUGAUAGGCAAGGUGUGUAAGUGCAGUAAUGCAUUGAGCUAACUUGUACUAAUGAUCCGAGAGACUUGACCAUAUAACACCCAAACAGUU
Molecule: ribosomal RNA, 250 nt
Filed under: Kangiella sp.
Lineage: Bacteria; Pseudomonadati; Pseudomonadota; Gammaproteobacteria; Kangiellales; Kangiellaceae
Description: partial 23S ribosomal RNA
Rfam family: Bacterial large subunit ribosomal RNA
Source: RNAcentral